RNAcentral lists this ribosomal RNA (406 nucleotides) under uncultured bacterium. Its description in RNAcentral is "partial 16S ribosomal RNA". It matches the Rfam family "Bacterial small subunit ribosomal RNA", at positions 30 to 526 of the family's 1533-position model. The record is from RNAcentral.
AUUGAACGCUGGCGGCAGGCCUAACACAUGCAAGUCGAGCGAGCGGCGGACGGGUGAGUAAUGUAUGGGGAUGUGCCCGAUAGAGGGGGAUAACUACUGGAAACGGUGGCUAAUACCGCAUACUAUUGGAUGAACCGAUAUGGGAUGAGCUAGUUGGUGGGGUAAAGGCUCACCAAGGCGACGAUCUCUAGCUGGUCUGAGAGGAUGAUCAGCCACACUGGGACUGAGACACGGCCCAGACUCCUACGGGAGGCAGCAGUGGGGAAUAUUGCACAAUGGGCGCAAGCCUGAUGCAGCCAUGCCGCGUGUAUGAUGAAGGCCUUCGGGUUGUAAAGUACUUUCAGCGGGGAGGCGUUACCCGCAGAAGAAGCACCGGCUAACUCCGUGCCAGCCGCCGCGGUAAUUC